Molecule: ribosomal RNA, 578 nt
Filed under: Chiasmocleis albopunctata (white-spotted humming frog)
Lineage: Eukaryota; Metazoa; Chordata; Amphibia; Anura; Microhylidae
Description: partial 16S ribosomal RNA
Rfam family: Bacterial large subunit ribosomal RNA
Source: RNAcentral
UUACCAAAAACAUCGCCUUCUGAAGAAUUAUAGAAGGUCCAGCCUGCCCAGUGACUUAGUUAAACGGCCGCGGUACCCUAACCGUGCGAAGGUAGCACAAUCACUUGUUCUUUAAAUAAGGACUAGUAUGAAUGGCAUCACGAGGAUUAAACUGUCUCCCCCACCUAGUCAAUGAAACUGACCUCCCCGUGAAGAAGCGGGGAUAAAUAUAUAAGACGAGAAGACCCUAUGGAGCUUUAAACAUAACACCACCCACCUAAACCCAUUUCAUAAAAAACAGGUGAAGCUUGUGUGCGUUUUCAGUUGGGGUGACUGCGGAGCAAAAUAAAACCUCCACGAUGAAAUCCUCUAAUCCAAGAAUAACAAUUCAAAGAAUCAACAAAUUGACAUCAAUUGACCCAAAUAAUAAUUUGAUCAACGAACUAAGUUACCCUAGGGAUAACAGCGCAAUCCACUUCAAGAGCUCAUAUCGACAAGUGGGUUUACGACCUCGAUGUUGGAUCAGGGUAUCCCAGUGGUGCAGCCGCUACUAAAGGUUCGUUUGUUCAACGAUCAAAACCCUACGUGAUCUGAGUUCA